CCAUAAACCCAACAGCAACGGGAUAAAGAAGAUAGAGAGAGAAUCGUCAUCUUCAUCAUCGUGUCUCAAAUGGCUUCUUUUUCAGCCUUCAUAACUAGGGUUCAGAGCUACUCUGAACUUUCAAAUCUCUCAAAACGAUCUCUGCCUUCCAAUGUUUUCAAAUUUUCUUCAUCAUUUCAGACUCGAAUCACGCACACUCACCACCAUGGAUUGAAGCUCAAGCACCUCCUCAAGGCAGCUCCUGAAGGACCUCCUUCUGAGUUGAUAGAAGAUUCAAAGUUUGUUCCUCUAAAUCCCGAUGAUCCUACUUUUGGUCCACCAGCUAUGUUAUUGACUGGUUUUCAAGUGGAUGAGGUUGUGAAGAUACAAAAGUUUUUGAAAGAGUUGGAUGGUGAAUUUGUAGAGGUUAUCUUUUGCACUGAAGACAUGAUGAAGGGGUCUCUUUGGGAAGCUGUAAAUACCAAACAGCCAAACCUUGAAGCUUCAAAGGUUCACUAUUAUUGCAAAAUCUCUUCCAAGGAUUUGUUUUUUAUCUGGUCUUACAGGAGAGGAGAUGAUGAUGUUCAUCGAUGCUUUUCCAGAAUCCGAAUUAGCAGGAGCAGUGUUUGCAGCUGUUGUACCCAAUAGUGCUGAUAAACCACUACAAGAGGUGAUAGAAGAGAUCAUGGGAGAUCAUGAGAUGAUGAAAUCAAGAGAAUCAAGCUAGAGAUAUCAAGAUACAUUGGAACUUGAUUGUCAGUUGAUAUGUUGGAACUAAAAGAAUCCAAGAGUACAUUGAUUUUCAAUAUGUUACAUUGAUAUGCCAAAUUCAUAACUACUAAACACAUGAUGCUUCGGAUAUUGAUUGAGAUCAUAAUUAUUAAGGGAUGUUUCAUCA
Non-coding RNA from Lactuca sativa (garden lettuce), 877 nucleotides. The record is from RefSeq and is a predicted model, not a curated record. NCBI's taxonomy places the organism in Eukaryota, Viridiplantae, Streptophyta, Magnoliopsida, Asterales, Asteraceae.